This 417-nucleotide ribosomal RNA is filed under the name Triticum aestivum (bread wheat). Its description in RNAcentral is "partial small subunit ribosomal RNA". The record is from RNAcentral. Lineage: Eukaryota; Viridiplantae; Streptophyta; Magnoliopsida; Poales; Poaceae.
AUGGGUAGGGGAAGAGGCAGAGGAAGGAAGCCCAUCGCCAACGGCAGGAGCCAUGAAGACAAGAUGAGCAGCGGCGAAGAGGUCGUGCCUGCGAGGAAGAGGAGAGGAAGGCCCCAAAAGCAGCGCGCCCCCGACAAGGUCGAUCUAGCAGAACCCAAGAACUCGGCAGCGGGCGUUCAUGGCGACGCAGAAGGAGACGACGCAAAGCUCAAGGAGAACGACGACCCUGAAGGCAAUGGCAACAAGAGGAACAGGGCGCCCAAGGAGGAGAGCUCGAACCUCGACAUGGAGGAGAACAGCUCGAGCACCCGGUCCAGCAACGACGAGUCGACGACGACGACCAGGUCCAGCGGCUUCCGGCAGAACGGGAGCCGCCGGAAGAGCACGCCCCGGCGAGCAGCCGAGGCGGGCCUGUAG